UACGUAGGGUGCGAGCGUUAAUCGGAAUUACUGGGCGUAAAGCGUGCGCAGGCGGCGCGUUAAGACAGGUGUGAAAGCCCCGAGCUUAACUUGGGAAUUGCAUUUGUGACUGCAUCGCUGGAGUGCGGCAGAGGGGGAUGGAAUUCCGCGUGUAGCAGUGAAAUGCGUAGAUAUGCGGAGGAACACCGAUGGCGAAGGCAAUCCCCUGGGCCUGCACUGACGCUCAUGCACGAAAGCGUGGGGAGCAAACAGG
Molecule: ribosomal RNA, 253 nt
Filed under: uncultured bacterium
Lineage: Bacteria
Description: partial 16S ribosomal RNA
Rfam family: Bacterial small subunit ribosomal RNA
Source: RNAcentral